GAUGGCUUCCUGUGCAAUGAUAUUGCAUAUUGAGCUCUAGCCUCGAUCCCAGGCCGCUCUUCCUCGAAGAGAGGCUAAUAAUUAGGCCUUGUGAAGGAGGCUAAUUGAGCUCAUGAAGCUCCUGAAAGCUCUGUUUCUCUUGGCUCUUGUCCAGUCAUCCCAUGCUUGAUACCUAUAGCCACUCAUAGUCUGACAAGUUUUCUGAAGAACGCGGAUGACAUCUGUUUCGGGAGGAAUGGGAAGAGAUCGGCUACUACCUUCUACUCUGAGUCCCAGAACCCCUGAAAUUCUCCUUGCAAGAUUUGCUGCGAAACAAGCACUUCGGAUGGGUUAGAGACUGGUGCACCUGUAGUCUCAUGAAUCAGCCGCACCUUUGGUGUCUGUCUGAGUACUCUUUACAUGAACUCAUGGGCCACGUCGGAUUUCCAAGGUGACCAAUGAGAUUGCUCACAAGCAUCAGGUGACUUGAAUAGGAGGCAGCAAAUAGUGAAACUUUACAUGAGAUUGAGCAGCAAGCAGUGAUGUGGCUGAGCAGAGAUAGCGGAUGUGGUUGCAUUUUUAUGGUUUUGUUAGCUUGUACAGUGACGUAAUACAUUCCAUUGUGAAAUGACUUCACGUAAAGAGUGCUCAGACUGACACCAAAGGUGCGGCUGAUUCAUGAGACUAGUGCACCUGGUGUCAUGAGUUUUUUAGGAAUCAAGCUGAAGCUGUACAAUAAUUAUAAUUAUAAUUAUUACAUGUACUGACAAUACCUUCUCAGUCAUGCCUUCACACUUAGUCUGGGGGCCAGACCUUUUCUCGGAGGGGGGAGUCCUCUUGGAAUGUCAACUAGGGAGGAGACUGUUAUAUUGGAGGUUAUGAAGAAGGAGUAGAUGUAGCAAUGUCAUUGGCUGUAUCCAAAUUCCAUUGGCUGUAAUCCAAAUUUCACAUAGGCAAUACAUUGGGUAAAAAUCACAUGGCAUAGGAUAUGAAUUUCAUUGGCUCUGGCCACAUUCCGCUAGAGCACACGGAAAUGCUGCAAGAGUCUCCAGACCUUAAUCCUAGCUCUCUAGAUUUUGCCCCCGAACUAUUAGGUCUGGCCCCCAGACUACCUUCACACUGUACUGUGUAGAUCUACAAGCUUAGUACUUAAAUGUUAAGGCCUUUCCGCACUAGAGUCAGUUACAAUUCGCAUUGAAUGCUCAAACCAGUUACAAUGCGCAUUGAUAGUGUCCGCACUUGUAUCGUGCCACCAUACACAUGUAUUUAAACUCACUCUAGCUAUAGACUGGCUGCGACUCGUACGUUGUAUAGGUGAAUAGACUGUUUACAUUAGACUGUUUAUAUUAGUAUUGUUUUGCAGUUAUGGUAAAUCAACAAUUAAUGUCAUAACAAUUAAUGUACAAAUAAAACUGAUAAAUGCAUGGAUGUUAUGUGCAUGUGCUGAUAACACAUUAAUCAUGCACCCCUGACGCUCAAUGUAUAGUCAAUACCAAUGACGAACUUAUUCCUUGUGGACAAUCUAUAUGGAUCUACUUGUGUUUUAUUAAGUACAACACAGUAUGUAUAUAUACUGCAUGCACCAGUACUAUAAAGCUUCAGGAAAUAUAUACACAAUACUUGGAGCUAAUUCCCACCUCGGUACGUCCGUUUAAAUGGUUCAGCAGGCAAUUACAUCAUUGGAAUAUUCCUGCACAUGUAUUUAGCUUCACUCGUGGUCGUGACCACGCCCACCUACUCUAGCAAAAUGGCAAAAAUAAUAGUAACGUUGAUUGGCUAAGAAAUGGUGCUAAAACAUGAGGUGGUGGGAAGGGGGAUUAAUAAAACAAAUCGGUUAGAGUACUAAGGCCUCAGAUAAUAUCCUUUAUCGGUUAGAGUACUCCUCAGGUGUCCUUAUGUUCACAGGGUAUAUAAUUAUGUAUAUGGUUAGAGUUGAAAAUGUUGUAGUUAAUGGGCUACAAUUUGAUACCAAAAACAUCCUCUAUGCUUAUUCCAUUGCUGAGAUAAUAACACUACUAUUUUGAUGACAUCAGCAGCUGCUAACCAACCAAUGACGCUUUAAUUAACCACGAGAAGCUGCGCAGUAUUGUAUAAUUAUUAUUCGAUUUGGCUUUCGCUACCUUCUAUUUAUGGAUGAACAACAGCAAGAAAAGUAAGGCCUGGACGAGGCUAGUCAAUUAUCUAGUGUGCAAUUUUAAUAAAAACGUUUUAACUCAUUGUUUGCCUUUAAAUGUUCUUAGCAUGUAUGCCUUGGCUGACUUCAAAUCUUGACAUAGGAUCUAUCUUGAAUGUUAGUUGGUUGUAUCAAAUAUUUGGCGGUUGCGGGUCGGUUAUAGGGCAUGUCAGUUAGAUGUCCAUAUUCAUAGUGCUGUAUAAAUGUACAGUGUGAGUACAAGUGCAGGCCGGUGCAAGAUGUGUGAGAGUGUGGGGUGGUGUGUGACAUGGUUGUUGUCUUUCAUGUUGGAGUGUUCUGGAGUUAACCUCAGGUUGGGCAAAAGCACUGUACACCCGAGUUGGACCAGGUGCGUAGUUGACCAAAACUGCUAGGUGGGACUCGGCUACGUACAAGCUAAUUCCAGGCACACAACAGCCACUUGCAUUAUCAGCUUUGCAAAUCAAACCCGCCCACAAAAGCACAUACAACAAGAAGAGAGACUGUACGUUCGGAACCUCACAACAUCAGCAAGUACGUCGUACACCGAAAUCAAAGACUCAGGAUAAAUGUAAUCCAGUAAAUUGUCUCCACCAGUCUAUGGUUGGUGUUUGGAGAAAUUGUUGUCUCUUUCAUCCAUUGUGCUCAAGAAGUUUUCGGUGGAUGGAGAUUUUGGUCAACUGCCACCAUCAUUCUACCUCUAUAUAUCACAGUACACCAGAGCUUUCAUAUACACAAGUUCUCAGGUUGAGGCCGACAACGGGCGGGAGGAAAGUAUAUACUGUACAAGUAUAGUCAACGUGUGUAUGUGCUCUUGUGCUGACAUACUGCAGCACAAGGACGAUGAAACGUUUUCGCUGGUAGUCUGAUUUGAAUCUGUAAGUUGCUACUGCGUUCUUGAAUGGAGAACUGCAAGUAGCCUGAAAGUCCGGAAUUCUGCCUAAAUUUCUCACCUGAAUGACAAUAGAACUGUCGCUAAGUAAUAAGCAUUGAUAAGGUGCCGGAUACUCAACGAGAACACUGCUUCUUUCUUCUUGCAAGUUUGUCGCUGGUUUAUAUUUCUCGCACAUGAGUCAAUCGUUCGUUCGGGUGCUCACUAGCCACCAGGGUGCAACUACAGUAAACCGUCGCCGUGCACGCAGGCACAGAAACGUUUCUUAUACAACCCCAAUUUGAUGGCAACCGUGAAACUCCAACGUUCCCAUAUUCAGUGAUAUGAGAAGGAGCACUGCCCUUUGUAUGAUGCUCGCCACUGUAAAACUGCCUCGAAGAGCAACAACCAUUGAUGAAGUGUCCUUCACAUUGAAAAGCUUGAGAGCCAGAUUCUUAUUUACGGUUGGCGACUAUCGCUGGCAUAACUCCUAUGGCAACAUUGAAUAUUUCUUUAGGCAUAAAUCUGUCUGGUUCCCCGUGUCAUCCAUGGAAUCGUCUGUCUGGAAUGGGUGGAAAGUGCUACGUUGCAAGGCCAGCAGAGCUGACAACCUGGCACACCAGGAGACUAAUCUCGAUCACAUCACAGUGUUUUCAGGUGACGAUAUCCUUCACAAGUUUUUCCUAAAGCAACUUUUCGUCGUCUACGUAGAAUGAGGUUUGUACUGCAUGCUUAGGGCCAUUGUUAAGGGGUGAUGGUCACUUCUCCAGGAAACGAUAUCUUCAACGGCCAACUCUACAGCUCAAUACACAUCAGCUGAGGGUGCCAUUGAGAGCUACCCGUAUCUUUGUAAGCUUAAUGGUCCAUCUGCUCGGAGAACUGCGAGAGGAAUCGUCUUGCAGCUUUUUGUCUCUUGAAAUGACUAACUUACUCGCUUACCUACAAUUUCUAUUUGACAAAGCUGGCUAGCUGCCCCUCUGUUCUGCCACAGACACUCCUUAGUAUAAUCUCUAGUAGCCAACUUUGAUUUACGACUACCAUUGAGGGGCACAGGCUCGUCCAAAUCUACAUUUUGACAGUAUUAAGCAACCUCAAAGAAAUCCGACGGCUGCACGAUUUCAGGAUCAACGAUCGAAGUGGGCGGGUUCUGAACAGAGUCUGAGAGCAGGGUCCAGAACUGUACAGCCUUGUUUGUACUUUCUUGUUGGUUGAGCUUGUUGUGCAAGUUGGCCCCGGAAAAAUUGACCCAAAGGCUCUUUCUGGUUUUUUCCGCUUAGCCUCAAACAUUCCUGCCAUACUGGGACUCUCGUCGAAGGGGUUGCCAAUUUUCAAUUGAGCCUUUCCUAUUAUAACAUAAUAAAGUCCAUAAUAGAAUGACACCAUCUGGAAUUUGUCCCCACCGAGCGAGAGAUCCAUGGAGACCUUGUCCAAAAACCGGUACGCACUAGUGGUUGCUUAGACCACAGCUGGAGUUUUAUCGCCACUGUCUGUCACAGUGUGUAUGAUAUAAUAGUAUAACUAAACAGUCUGAUUCUAAAAGUACUAUGAUAAAACUACACAACAAAUUAGAUGUGUCUCAGCAGCAUAACGUUCUGGUUUGUGAGUAGUCCUCGAAUUAAUGAAAUGGGCUCAGUGGCCCGGUGCCCUGGUUCGUAUUUGGGUUCGUGGUUGAAGUUUCUAUCAAAUCGCAGGGAUAACUAACGAAAUCAUCUUCAUUAAUGUUGUACUGUUUGAAUUCUAGUUCAUCUGCUUCUCGAAAGAGAGUGUCUGCAAUGAAUAGCUCUUUUCCGGACUUAUAUUUAACGGUGAGAGAAUAUUUUUGAAUCGACAUUAUCGGGUACUUGAUACAGUGGCUUUCGACAAGGGGUUUGUGGUCAGUGUUCACAUGCACAAUUAACUCCGAACACAAUGGCAGGCGUUUCUUUCUCGAUUUGUGCGUAGUUGCGUUAAUUGGUAUGCGUAUGCAAUUGGUUGGUCAUAUUGCAAGGUCGAUUUGCUGUUUAAAUGCCACUCGAGGAGCGGGAGGUGAAUAAACUUGGUGCGGUAUGUAGUCGAAUCGAUUUUCUUGUUUGAUCCCUUCGUUCACUACAACGUGGCGCAUCUACAAGAACUUCUACUCUGGAAUAUGUCUUGGGCAGAAGAACGCCAAAGGGGAGUCUAGUAUACAUGUACCUGGGUAUUGAGUUUGGCACUUUCUCGGUCGAGCUUAACUUGCCAGAACACUCUUAUAUCAUAGCAUACACGCAGUUCCGUUUGGUUUUAUUACAGUCAUCAUGCUAUUCACUCAUUCUGUGGGCUCCUCUAUGACUCCCAUGCAUUCUAGUUCUUUGUGACUGGGAGGGGGGGUUUGUGAGUCGGGUCGAUCUUGAUUUGAUGCCGGUAAAAAGUCUUUGAGAUUACUUUUCACAAGGUUCAAUUCUGUGAUGGUUUUUAGUCCUAGUACAUUUGAAAGAGCGUACAUAAUUAUAUAGACCAUGCCAAAGAGCCAAAAAUACGUCCUAUGGUUAAAUAUAGUUUUUGCCUGUUUGUACGUCAAAAACAUGAUUGUUCUACUCUCCGUACCGAUGUCACGGAUGACUUCACCCGACAAUCUACAACAUCCCAUCACCCCGCCGUUUGUGUCAAAACGUCGACGGUCGAUGUUUUAAAAAGGAGCUGAUGUUAUGAGGGUGACGUUUGUGUCAGUUCUAAAAAUCACUAUUACCUUAAAGUAGAAUGAAAUGGAUUUUUUUUUAAGAGUCGACGUUAUAAAAAGGUUGACGUUAAUUUAUUUGUGUUUGUACCUUACCUUUACCAAGGGCGUAUACAGAGAAGAGGGCAUGCAACUCACUAUGUAUCCUACGUACUCAUCCGACUUCGUAUCAGAGACCGGAUAUGCUAAAAAUAGAAUCCAGUAUACGGACGUGAACAAGUGGGCGGUGUUGUUUACGGAGUUAUAAUUAUGGGCGUGUACAUCAGAGCUGCCUAGCUAGCUAGCUAACAGUGCAGUAUUAUUUUAGAGAAGUGUCAUGACCAGUCCUAGUCCAGCCAGGUCCAAGACAACCCCUUCGAGCAUGAAGUUGAGUGCUGGGCGCAUUGUUAAGAAGUACCAGAGACUCAGGAAGACAGAUUAUUGUACCUAGGUUUCAUCUUCUUGGAGUUGCAACUGUUGGAUGGUUUGCCUUUGCCUUUGACACUGCUAGUACAAGCCAUACUGCUGCUGAGAACUAGUUAUGCUGCUGCAAUCGAGCUAGCUAGCUGGCACAGAUAUAAAAAAUACUUUGAUUUACCUUGUGUGGUCAAAGGUUACACGUGGGCGUUUUUGUGGGCAGUUCUAAAAAUAGCUCAAUACGAAGUCGGAUGAUUCUGAGAAUGGGGCGAGUUGCAUGCCCUCUUCUCUGUAUACGCCCUUGCCUUUACUAAUACGUUCAUGUUUGAGUCGGGUUUCUCCAGUUUACCGGUCAAAACAGAGAAUAAUACAUCGUCUUUGUGACUUCGACUCCAUUCAACGAUUUUAACACAAACGAGGGGCCCACCCAGUAGGAGUCACGAACCAACACGCUAUGGAAAACCAUGUGCAAACAAGCAGCGCAAGGUGGAGUCUAGCUACAACGUUUGUGUGUGAGCAGACCCAGAGGAGACGCGUGCCUCGAUUAGGCUAAUUGCCUCUGCGUGGGGAGAUAAUCGAAGCAUAAUUACGCAACGUUAUUGUAGUCGUAGACUACCUGGACGUGCCAGUUAGAUGGGACGAGUCUUAUCUCCUAGGCACUCUGAUCUUGGUUUCUAUCUCUGACUGACGCCUAUUCACUAGCCACUGCCCCGGCUGGAUCUAUGGCAGUUGGUCACAUAUUACGGAGGAAGGUACGUGCACGGAGACCAAAGCGACUAAAUACAGGAGUACUCCAAAGUACUUGACAUGCGUAAAAUACAAUUUAAAACUAUGUACACGCAGCCAUAUAGACAAGUCUACAAGUGCUGGGGUGGCUACAAGUUCUGGCUGAUUGAUUUGAAAUGGAUGUUCGAGUGUCAUGACGAACUUUGGUAUCUAUAUAUACAAUAGAGUUGCCAGUACAUGUAUAUGGACUUUUUAGAGUCAGAUUUUCUGAAAACUUAAGUUAUGUGGCGUAAGUAUCCACUCAAUUUCUUUAAAAUCAGAGGCACGUACAUACCCUUGGCUCUAUUAAUGUUGUACUAUCGUAUUAAAGUAUCUUGAUUUGUUUUAGUUAUAAAUGGUAGGUGGUAUACAACUCGUGCGCAUCUUUGAAAUUUAUGUUAGUUGUAACUUUUUAUUGCAGAAACUCGAUGGUGGAGUCAGUGGAUCCCGUCGGACAUUAAUUAAACCCCCUCAUCGACAGUUCACUGCCCACCCAGCACAGUGGGGACAUAGUGAGGUUUUGAUUCAGCAAGUAACCCCGAGGGUACUCAGAACAUCUGAGGAUCUGCCAAGACCCUUUGGAAAAGUUUGGUAUGCCAAUGACAGAGGGAAGGGACACUGUUAUUCAUUACGAUUGGUCGUGCAAAAGCUGUGUAGUGACCAGAUGACGGAAAUACACCACUACCUAAACGUCGUCAGACUUACAAAAAUUAUGUUUUAUGUUUGUAAACAUCAUCAUUUCUCCAUGCAUCCUUUGUGAUUGUGUGUGCAGUCUAUAAUUAUGGUCAUGAGCUCUAUACUUUUUUUUGUGGGUGCGCAUGUCUUGUUCUUUGAAGGUUUGUUAAGGUCUUUAUAAUAGGAUGUGUAACUCUUCAAUGCAACAGAGAAAACCAAAGAAACUAGUUCAGAUCUAUGUAUGUAGUAGCUAGUAGCUACUGUGGGCCAGAGACAGCUAGCUGUUCACUCUCUUUUAGCCCCAAUUAAAUUUCUAUUUCCGGUGCGACACGCAUGGGCCGUGUGAAAUCCCUGUGUUUCCAAUCCCUUCCCUCUACUAUCUAUGAUGUAAUUACAGCGCCACGUCAGCAUCAGUAUAAUUUUUUAGGUCCUAAAAAAGCGCCAACCGUUGCUGGAAUUAUUUUUUUCUGGCGCUUAUAAAAAGGCUUGUUUUGAGACAUCAAGACAAUCAUCCUGCAUCUUUGACUUC
Halichondria panicea is the source of this 8059-nucleotide long non-coding RNA. RefSeq lists it as uncharacterized. Lineage: Eukaryota; Metazoa; Porifera; Demospongiae; Suberitida; Halichondriidae. The transcript is spliced from 3 exons. The record is from RefSeq and is a predicted model, not a curated record.